GACGAACGCUGGCGGCGUGCUUAACACAUGCAAGUCGAACGGAAAGGCCCUGCUUUUGUGGGGUGCUCGAGUGGCGAACGGGUGAGUAACACGUGAGUAACCUGCCCUUGACUUUGGGAUAACUUCAGGAAACUGGGGCUAAUACCGGAUAGGAGCUCCUGCUGCAUGGUGGGGGAUGGAAAGUUUCGGCGGUUGGGGAUGGACUCGCGGCUUAUCAGCCUGUUGGUGGGGUAGUGGCUUACCAGGGCUUUGACGGGUAGCCGGCCUGAGAGGGUGACCGGCCACAUGGGGACUGAGAGACGGCCCAGACGCCUACGGGAGGCAGCAGUGGGGAAUAUGGCACAAUGGGCGGAAGCCUGAUGCAGCAACGCCGCGUGCGGGAUGACGGCCUUCGGGUUGUAAACCGCUUUCGCCUGUGACGAAGCGUGAGUGACGGUAAUGGGUAAAGAAGCACCGGCUAACUACGUG
Molecule: ribosomal RNA, 468 nt
Filed under: uncultured bacterium
Lineage: Bacteria
Description: partial 16S ribosomal RNA
Rfam family: Bacterial small subunit ribosomal RNA
Source: RNAcentral